This 372-nucleotide long non-coding RNA is filed under the name Ananas comosus (pineapple). RNAcentral describes it as "long non-coding RNA (ACOM_LNC010548)". The record is from RNAcentral. Lineage: Eukaryota; Viridiplantae; Streptophyta; Magnoliopsida; Poales; Bromeliaceae.
AAUCGUAGUGUUUUAUUUGGAAUUAAAUGAGAAAUAUUAUGGGGUAAAUUUCAAAUACCAUCCCUAUGGUUUCGUAUAUUUUUACUUUAGUACCAUGUGGUUUAAAAUAUAUUAAGUUAGUGUCAUAUGGUUUUAUUUUUAUCUUUUCAUCAGUUUUUUCGUUAAUAUUUCGUUAAAUUAUAUAAAAAAACUUCAGAUACCACAUCUAAAUUUAUCAAAUAUUUAUUUUAAUAUUCUUUAGUUUUAACUUUAUAAUUGAUUUAACAAAAAAAUUAAAAAAAUCAAUAAUAAAAAAAUAAAAAUAAAAUCACAAAAUAUUACAUUAAUAUAUUUUAAAUUAUAAAAUAUUAAAAUAAAAAAAUGUGCAAUUAU